RNAcentral lists this ribosomal RNA (909 nucleotides) under Triticum aestivum (bread wheat). RNAcentral describes it as "partial small subunit ribosomal RNA". Lineage: Eukaryota; Viridiplantae; Streptophyta; Magnoliopsida; Poales; Poaceae. The record is from RNAcentral.
AUGGCCAACGGAAAGAAUGUCGUGGCCAUGUUAUUUCUCACCACCAUUGUGGCGGUGGCGGCCACAAGGCCAGCCGACACCUAUGGCGCUGCGGAGGAGAACACAUUGAAGAUGGCUACCCCCAGCAGGAAAGGGGUUGACGCUACAUUAGCAGCUACACGUGUUGUUGCCGCCGAGAAGUCCAUCAAGAAGGCUGAAAGCGCCACCACAUCAGAAGAGGCCGCGGCUGCCAAGCAAGAUGGAGCAAAAUCUGCUUCUGCUGCAUUAAAGUACAAUGCCAUCUCUCAGCAGGCAACUGGUAAAGGUUCUUCUAUCUCCCCAGGCAGGAAAGAAGCAGCCGGUACUUUAGCCGCCACACAAUAUGCUACCACCGAGAAGUCCAUCAAGAAGGCCGAAACCGCCACGACACCUGAAAAGGCCGUGGCUGCCAAGCGAGACGCAGCAAAGUCUGCUGACGAUGCAUUAAAGUAUGGUGCCAUCUCUCGGAAAGCAGCUGGUACAAGUUCUUCUACCUCCCCCAAUAGGAAAGAAGCCACCACUGACUUAGCAGCUAUGCACACUGCUGCUGGUAAGAUGAUCACCAAGAAGGCUGAAACCGCUACCACACCUGAAGAGGCCGUGGCUGCCAAGCGAGCUGCAGCCAAGUCUACUGCUGCUGCAUCAAAGUAUGGUGUCAUUUCUCAGCAAGCAGCUGGUACAAGUUCUUCUACCUCCCCCAACAGGAAAGAAGCUGUCGGUACCUUGGCAGAUGCGCGCAUAGCUGCUGCCGAGAAGUCCAUCAAGAAGGCUGAAACCGCCACCAGACCUGAAGAGGCAGCACCCGCUAAGAAGGAUGCCGCGAAAUCUGAGGCUGAUGCAAUGAAGUACGGGGCCAUCUCUCAGCAGGCCGCCAACAAAAAUGGUGCCUAA